RNAcentral lists this ribosomal RNA (1962 nucleotides) under human gut metagenome. RNAcentral's name for it is "bacterial LSU rRNA". It matches the Rfam family "Bacterial large subunit ribosomal RNA", at positions 1 to 1977 of the family's 2925-position model. The record is from RNAcentral.
GUAAAUAAUUAAGGGCGUAUGGUGGAUGCCUAGGCUCUCAGAGGCGAUGAAGGACGUGAUAAGCUGCGAAAAGCUCCGUUUAGGUGCAAAUAACCUUUGAUGCGGAGAUCUCCGAAUGGGAUAACCCAAUAUGUUGAAGACAUAUUAUACCGUAAGGUAGGCAAACGCAGGGAACUGAAACAUCUAAGUACCUGCAGGAGAAGAAAACAAACGUGAUUCCCCCAGUAGCGGCGAGCGACCGGGGAAAAGCCCAAACCGUUAUUGUUUCGGCAGUAGCGGGGUAGUAGGACUGCGACAUUGAUGAAAUAAAUGAAAUGGAACACCUUGGAAAAUGUGAUCACAGAGGGUGAUAAUCCCGUACAUGCAAGUUUAUGAAUCAUAGCAGACUCCUGAGUAAGUCGGGACACGUGUAAUCCUGACCGAAUCCGCCGGGACCAUCCGGCAAGGCUAAAUACUCCUGAGAGACCGAUAGUGAACCAGUACCGUGAGGGAAAGGUGAAAAGCACUUCGAACAGAAGAGUGAAAUAGUCCCUGAACCCAUACGCCUACAAGCUGUCGGAGCCGCUUCGUGCGGUGACGGCGUGCCUUUUGCAUAAUGAGCCUACGAGUUACUCAUCACCAGCGAGGUUAAGUACUUCAGGUACGUAAGCCGAAGCGAAAGCGAGUCUGAAUAGGGCGUCAAGUUGGUGGUGGUAGACGCGAAACCUUAGUGAUCUACCCAUGGGCAGGGUGAAGGUUUGGUAACACAAACUGGAGGCCCGAACCGGUAAACGUUGAAAAGUUUUCGGAUGACCUGUGGGUAGGGGUGAAAGGCCAAUCAAACUGGGAAAUAGCUCGUACUCUCCGAAAUGCAUUUAGGUGCAGCCUCUGUUGUUUUGUUCUAGAGGUAGAGCUACUGAUUGGAUGCGAGGGCUUCACCGCCUAUCAAAUCCGGCCAAACUCCGAAUGCUAGAACAUGAAGACAGGGAGUGAGCCAGCGGGUGCUAAGGUCCGUUGACGAAAGAGGGAGAACUCAGACCAUCAGCUAAGGUCCCCAAUUGUAUGCUAAGUUGGAAUUAAAACGGGGUGGGACUGCUUAGACAGCUAGGAUGUUGGCUUGGAAGCAGCCAUUCAUUUAAAGAGUGCGUAACAGCUCACUAGUCGAGCGGUCCUGCAUGGAUAAUACGCGGGCAUAAGCAUAUAACCGAAGCUAUGGGAUUGUAGAUGAUACAAUCGGUAGGAGAGCAUUCCAUUCAGCGUAGAAGCAGUAUCGUGAGGUAUUGUGGAGCGGAUGGAAAAGCAAAUGUAGGCAUAAGUAACGAUAAUGCGGGUGAGAACCCCGCACGCCGAAAGAUCAAGGAUUCCCCGGCAAUGUCAAUCAUCCGGGGGUAAGUCGGAUCCUAAGGGUAAGCCGAGUGGCGAUCCCGAUGGCAAACAGGUUAAUAUUCCUGUACUGAUCAUAACUGCGAUGCAGCGACGCAGAGGUGACACUGCUGCGUACUGACGGAAUAGUACGUUGAAACCCGUAUUCUUUGAUACCGGUAGUGAAGCACGCCGGUAGAGAUGAAAGGUGAUAGUACCGCAAUGCUUCGGUUGCGCGGAUAAUGCAGGUAAGCUGACUGCCAAGAAAACCUGCUAAGCUUCAGGUAAUGAUCAUCCGUACUGUAAACGGACACACGUGAUCAGGUAGAAAAUACUAAGGCGCUCGAGAGAUUCAUGGUUAAGGAACUAGGCAAAAUGGUCCUGUAACUUCGGGAUAAAGGACGCUCUUGUGAAAGAGCCGCAGAUAAUAGGCCCAGGCGACUGUUUACCAAAAACACAUGGCUAUGCUAAUUCGCAAGAAGAUGUAUAUGGCCUGACACCUGCCCGGUGCCGGAAGGUUAAGAGGAGAGCUCAUCAGCGAUGAGAAGGUUUGAAUUGAAGCCCCGGUAAACGGCGGCCGUAACUAUAACGGUCCUAAGGUAGCGAAAUUCCUUGUCGGGU